UACGGAGGGGGCUAGCGUUGUUCGGAAUUACUGGGCGUAAAGCGCGCGUAGGCGGACCUGCAAGUCGGGGGUGAAAGCCCGAGGCUCAACCUCGGAACUGCCUUCGAUACUGCGGGUCUCGAGUCCGGGAGAGGUGAGUGGAAUUCCUAGUGUAGAGGUGAAAUUCGUAGAUAUUAGGAAGAACACCAGUGGCGAAGGCGCUCUGCUAGGCCGUAACUGACACUGAGGGACGAAAGCUAGGGGAGCGAAUGGG
Molecule: ribosomal RNA, 253 nt
Filed under: uncultured bacterium
Lineage: Bacteria
Description: partial 16S ribosomal RNA
Rfam family: Bacterial small subunit ribosomal RNA
Source: RNAcentral